This 411-nucleotide ribosomal RNA is filed under the name Streptococcus parasanguinis. Its description in RNAcentral is "bacterial SSU rRNA". It matches the Rfam family "Bacterial small subunit ribosomal RNA", at positions 1121 to 1533 of the family's 1533-position model. Lineage: Bacteria; Bacillati; Bacillota; Bacilli; Lactobacillales; Streptococcaceae. The record is from RNAcentral.
UCAUUCAGUUGGGCACUCUAGCGAGACUGCCGGUAAUAAACCGGAGGAAGGUGGGGAUGACGUCAAAUCAUCAUGCCCCUUAUGACCUGGGCUACACACGUGCUACAAUGGCUGGUACAACGAGUCGCGAGUCGGUGACGGCAAGCUAAUCUCUUAAAGCCAGUCUCAGUUCGGAUUGUAGGCUGCAACUCGCCUACAUGAAGUCGGAAUCGCUAGUAAUCGCGGAUCAGCACGCCGCGGUGAAUACGUUCCCGGGCCUUGUACACACCGCCCGUCACACCACGAGAGUUUGUAACACCCGAAGUCGGUGAGGUAACCAUUUGGAGCCAGCCGCCUAAGGUGGGAUAGAUGAUUGGGGUGAAGUCGUAACAAGGUAGCCGUAUCGGAAGGUGCGGCUGGAUCACCUCCUUU